Molecule: microRNA, 23 nt
Filed under: Parasteatoda tepidariorum (common house spider)
Lineage: Eukaryota; Metazoa; Arthropoda; Arachnida; Araneae; Theridiidae
Description: pte-miR-3477-5p
Source: miRBase by way of RNAcentral
UAAUCUCAUUCGGUAUGGACUGA